RNA transcript from Phyllostomus hastatus (greater spear-nosed bat), 13276 nucleotides. It is a transcript of the gene named zinc finger protein 704, with no coding region annotated. The record is from RefSeq and is a predicted model, not a curated record. Lineage: Eukaryota; Metazoa; Chordata; Mammalia; Chiroptera; Phyllostomidae. The transcript has 10 exons.
UGAGUGUAAAGGGCAUGGCUUACCAAAUAACCUAACCUCAUACAGUAGCCAGUGGCUUUUCUGUGUCACACCUAAAAAUCCUCGGAAAAUGAGUCAUUAGUUAUACAGCGAACAGUUUAUUGGUUUCCAAGCUUGAUCUCAUUUCAUACUUUUUUUCUUUAAAUAACAAAUUCAAGCAGUCUGGAACAGGCCAUCCUGUUUCUUUCUCCAAAGGCCCUGACAGCGAACAGAAAUCUUGGCGUGUAGCAGCUGUAACCAAGCACUCCAGGUAGGAAUUCAGAAAUAAAAGCUGAAAGUAAAGACUUCACAAGGGCCCAGAUUGCUUGAUAGGCAGGGCCUAGAAGGGUGCACUCAGAGACGGACAGAUGGGCAGGCAACGCCAUGAACGUGUUUCAAGAAUCCAGAUGAGUCUAGUGACUCUAGGGACUAACCCCAAAUUUCCGAUGGGGGCACCUUCCCUGAUAGCACAGACGCUCAGGAGCUGCCAUCACGCAGAAACAAUUCAAAUUUAACUUGGCGGGGGCAAAUUUCUUCCUUCAGAGUCUUACUUUGACAACCCAAGCAGCAGCGAAGUGCUAGGCCCUCCAUCCACAGGGAGUCGCCGGCUCGGGCUGGGGGAGGCGGCCGGCGUUGGCCCGGCCUCUCGUAAGCCCUGGAUCUGGAAAACAUGGGUCGGGGAGUAGUCCAGUCCGGGUUUUGCCGACUCGGGGGCCGGGGCUGCGGGGAGGGCGGCGAGCGGGAGCUGUGGCAGCGGCGCCGACAGCUCGCGCCGGGGCGGCCGCUGUAGGCCGGAGAGGCGCAGGCCCGGCCGCCGGCCGCGUGGGGCGCAGCUCGGCUGGCGGCUCCAGGGCAGCGGCGGCGUUGGAGGUGUUAGCGCACGGCUAGAGCACACCCACCCCCAUCCCGCCGUAGCCCCGCCUUAGCCCAGCAGCCCGGGCCGGCGUGCUUCCCGGCAACAGCAAGAGGAGCCGCCACAGGGGGAGGGAGUGGAGGGGAGGGGACAGCUCAGCUGCAGGCAUGCAGGCGCGCCGCCUGGCCAAGCGCUCCAGCCUGGGCGGCCGCCGUGGGGGCUCCGCGCUGCAACCCUCGGGCUCGGCGCCCGAGAUCGGGAGGCCGCCACUGCCCCUGCCGCCGCCACGGAGUGCGGGGACAGGUCUCCCUCGGGCCUCCGGGGCCAUCGCGUCGCCGGUGCUGCUGCUGCUGGGCGAGGAGGACGAAGACGAAGAGGGCGCGAGCCGUAGGCGGCGGGGUCUCGGGCGGGUGCCGGAGAAGCCCCGAGGGGGCGCGGAGGAGGACGAUGACGAAUACGAGGAGGACGACGAAGAGGGGGUCAUCGAGGUGGUGGAUGGCGACGAGGAGGACGAGGACAGCGAGGAGCGCUUCCUGCCCCUCGGCCCUGGCCGCGCGGUCCCCAGGGGCCCGGCCCGGGGUGUGGUGAAGGUAGGGAGCAUUAAGCGGGACAUGUCCUUCACGUUUCAACCAGAGGACCUAAAACGAGACUCAAGUAAAAAAAUGUCUCAUCAGCCCUUGUUCCCCUUGGCCGUGGAGGAAGAUGUGAAAACAGCAGACACCAAAACUGCAAACCAAGCCCUUGACCAUGACAAAGAAAAUACCCGUUCCAUCUGUCUCCUUGAGCAAAAGCGGAAAGUUGUUUCUUCCAACAUUGAUGUUCCUCCAGCAAGGAAAUCCUCAGAGGAACUGGACAUGGACAAAGUGACAGCAGCAAUGGUACUAACCAGCCUGUCCACCAGCCCUUUGGUUCGAAGUCCUCCUGUGCGGCCAAAUGAGGGCCUCAGCGGAUCCUGGAAGGAGGGUGGCGCCCCGUCCAGCAGCUGCGGCAGCGGCUACUGGAGCUGGAGUGCCCCCAGCGACCAGUCCAACCCGUCCACCCCGUCACCACCGCUGUCCGCCGACAGCGCCAAGCCCUUCCGUAGCCCCGCGCCUGACGAUGGCAUCGACGAGGCUGAGGCCGGCAACCUGCUCUUCGACGAGCCCAUCCCAAGGAAAAGAAAGAACUCCAUGAAGGUGAUGUUCAAAUGCCUCUGGAAAAACUGUGGGAAGGUGCUGAGUACUGCAGUAGGGAUCCAGAAACACAUCCGGACCAUUCACCUUGGGCGUGUUGGGGACUCCGAUUAUAGUGAUGGUGAAGAGGACUUCUACUACACAGAGAUCAAGCUCAACACAGACUCAGUGGCAGAUGGACUGGGUAGCCUGGCCCCAGCUUCACCAUCCCAGUCCCUGGCUUCGCCACCCACCUUCCCCAUCCUGGAUUCAAGCCGAACAGAAACCCCUUGUGCCAAAACUGAAACUAAACUGAUGACGCCCUUGAGCCGCUCAGCCCCCACCACCCUCUACCUCGUGCACACCGACCAUGCUUACCAGGCCACACCCCCUGUGACCAUUCCAGGAUCGGCCAAGUUUGCCCCCAAUGGCAGCAGCUUCAGCAUCUCUUGGCAGUCUCCUCCAGUUACCUUCACAGGCAUUCCAGUGUCACCAACACAUCACCAUCCUAUGGGCACAGGAGAGCAGAGACAGCACAGUCACACAGUCUUGUCCUCCCCGCCCAGGGGGAUGGUCAGCCUAAGGAAGCCUCGUGGAGAAGGCAAGAAAUGCCGGAAGGUAUAUGGCAUGGAGAACCGAGACCUGUGGUGCACGGCCUGCCGCUGGAAGAAGGCCUGCCAGCGCUUCCUGGACUGAGGAACCUAAGGGACAGCAGUAAUCUAGUCAUGGCCACCGGGUCACAGCCACCGAGCAGGUCACCCCACCUUUACCUCCCACUGCAGCUUUUGGGAAAGCACUCUUCCUUCUGAACAAAACACAUCUGGAGCCCAGGAAAACACUUCCAGGAACCUUGGUGGAAUUACAGCAAAAAAUAAGUCACACAGGCACUGGUCUGUUCGGAACCCACCUAGAGCAGCUAGUACUAAUUUUUUGUGUGUGUGAAAAGGAAAGUCAAUUUGCUUUACUAUGUGUCUAGGUUUGAAAACUAUGGACUUCCAUAGCAAUGGAAUCAACAAUGCCCAUUUUACCUAGAAAGUAGGCAUAUUUUGACAAGCUUUCUGAAAAAUAUCAUUUCAGUUGGGGGUGGGGGGGGUGGCGGCAGGUAUUGAUACACACAAAAAAGCUAUAUGUGAUUCUGUAGCUUUUGUACAAAGAACAAUACACACUUUUGUGUGAAUAGUCUUUUCCCAGUUUCCAUUUGACUUCUUGGGGCAGCACUCUGGGUAUCUUUUCCAUGUCUUUCUCUUUGUUUUGUUUUGAAGAAUGGCCCUGAAAUGGUAGAGCUGUGGGCUUGCAGGGCCCCUGAUGGUGGAAACUCAAAAAUAGUUUCACCAGCAGACUUCACCAGCAGACUUCAGCUCCAAGCUGAGCUCAGGACAUCCAGCUGUCACUGAUGGGAAACACCUAGAAGUCUUCCCAAGAUCUGUAAGAAGCCCUUCCCCAAGCAGCUCCUCCUCUGCCUGCUCAACUCAAUCCAGAACUGGCACAUGGAGCCCUCUGGUGUGGCCCAGAGAUACCAAAAGGUUGGACACCCCUGCCUUGUCCUUCCCAGGGAACAUGCACCCAAGUUGUAGGAUGCAGCGUGACAACUUGGAGAAAGUAACAAGAGUGUUGGAGAACCAAGAAGAAACACAAGAGGCCCAUGGGCACCUGGCUCCCACCCCUUAGUGCUGAUGAGCCACUGGUGGCUGUCCUUGGGCCCCGCUGGGGGAGCGGCCAUCUGCAGUGGACAGAAAUCAGGUGUCCACACCUGUGGGAACAGCCCACUGCCUUUUUCAGCAGACUUCAUUGGAAAUGAAAGCACAGCUUUCACUUGAGAAUGUUUAGAGAAAAGUGGAAAGACUUGUACAUUUAGAACAGAAUGCCUUGAGAAUAGUAGCAAAAUACUAUAAAUAAUAUUCAUUUCCUCAGGGAAAAUUAAAGAGUAUGUGAAAAAUAGAGCUGGAGGAGCUUAAUAUUAGAAAGAUAUUAUCUCCAGAGUCAUCUAGUCAGAAAAAAAAAUUUUUUUUCAUGAACAUGAUGUUAUUUCAAGACAAAGUUACAUGAACUGGACGGGACCAACUUUUCUGGGGCUAGGGGAUGCUUUAUGAGAAGAGCUGUUUCUCUGUGGCUGAGCUGUGGUCAAAGGCUGGUGUGUGGACCAUAAGCACCAUCCCAGGUGGGUGUCCAGAGACUCGUGGAAGGCUUUCUUGGAAUGUAGUUGUGAAUAUGUAGCCUUGGCAUUCCUUCCUCUCAUCACCAGUAGGUUCUUAGUUCACCAGAGUUCUUAGCUAUGAGCAAAAGCUCCCAGGGUAAAAACACUAAAGCUGUGAUAGCAGGUUAAGGAGCAAACUUCCAUGGACUUUUCUGGACAAGGUGCUGCUUUUUCUCAUGACCCUAUAGAAUUUCUCUUGACUACUUCAACUGUAGCAGUGACCUGGUGAGCACCAGGAAGAAUCUGUGCACACAAGUGAGUGGAAACACGGCAGGAUUCGCGGGUAUUGAGGUGUGGAUCAUUUUGAAGAAUGUGCUGGGCAUGAGGGGCAACUGCAAAUUUCAUUUCUUCUAAGAAAAUAACCCUCCUGGCCAUGGACACACACACUCUUCCUGCUCCUUAUACCUGUGGGGAUCCUCUCUGAGGAUUCCUCCCUAUGGAAACUGUUUUCUUUUGUCUUUUUCUAUUGUAACUAGAUGAACCACAAGUCAGAACAUAAAAUGAAAUCAGCACUUUGGGGUACCAAUUGUAUCACCAAUCCAGCAAGAAAGUAUAAAAUAUAUGUCAUUGCGACUGACUUUGAGCCCAUAUCCAAUGGUCUAGAUUAUGUGUCCCCAAUCCUGGUCUGUGGACUGGUACCCAUCUGUGGCCUAUUAGAAACAGGGCCAUGAGCUAAGCUCACCUGAGCUCCCCCUCCUGUCUCCCACUCUUUCUCCUCUUCACCCUCCCCCACAGCCCUAUCUAUGGAAAACCUAGUCCCUGGUGCCAAGAAGUUUGGGGACUGCUGGUCUAGAUCAGUGAUUUUCAACCUUUUUAAUCUCAUGGAACAUGUAAACUAAUUACUAAAAUUCUCCGGCAUACCAAAAAUAUGUUCUAUGUUUUGCCAAUCUGAAAAAAAGUAUAAUUUUGAUUCAUCCACACCAGACACCUGUCAUGUUGGCUGUUGUCAGUUUUUUGUUUAUUUGACAAUCUAUGAGGAAGAGGUGAGUGCCCCUAACUAAAUAGUGGUAUUGCAUGUUUUAAAAAUUCUUGUGACACACUCUUUGAAAAUCACUGGGCUAGAUGCUUUAAAAAGUGUAUCUAUCAUAGGACCAGCAAUCAAAGUGGGACUUUUACUUGUGGUCUUGAUUUGUAAAUAGAUCCUUUUUUAUGACAAUCUCAUAUUUUAUAACUUCUCCUGAGGGUCUGAGAAUCACAAUGGUAAUGUGUUAUAUUGGAAUGUAAUCUGAAAUACAAUAACAAUUAUAACUUAAUUUUCCAAAUAAGACAAGAAAUACACUGCUUAAGUUUCUAUAAUUCUGAGAGACAUACCACUUUUAUAAUAAGCAUUAGUACUUAACUUCUCAAGUUAACAGAACUAGAGAUAUUUUACAGGAUGCAGUGUUUUGUAAUCACAAAAAACAUGAACAUUUUCAGAGAAAUGACCUUGGUUUUAUACACUGUAGCUUAUUUUUUAAAAGAUAGUCUUACUGGACAGGAAGCAUUAAUAUUAUAAGCAUUUCUUACUCUCCAAACAAAGGGCUAUGCCUCUUUUAAGCAAGUGUUUUGGUGCAUAUCUUUUCAGUUAACCCUCUGCAGUGAGGGGUCAAAAUAUAGACCAGAUGGAAAGAUUAAUUCAAGAAAAUCAAGAUGGCAACAGCUACUCCUUUUAUCAUUAACAGUGUGUUUUCAAUGUAUUGUGGGGGGAAAGACACUUUAAGAAUCAUCCUGUGUAUCUUAAAUCUAGAAGAAGUCAAUAGACAUGCUUAUAAGUAAUGAGAGAAAUAUUGUUAUACAUUUUUUAGUGUAAAAUGAUAGAUUUUCCACACACACAAGCUACCAAAUGACCUACCAGAACCACAAACCUGUGUUAAACUAGCAAGUAUCAUUUGGUAGAAAUUUCUAAAAUCAUGCAAUGUAAGCCCAAAGGUAGAAUUCUUAGAUGGUUAGUGGUAUUUAAAAUAAUUUUCUCUUCAGCUAAACUUGCAUUUCCUUAUCAGAACAAGUGAUUGAUUUUUUUUAACCAGAAGAACUCACAGACAUGUCAGGUUGGCAUCAGAAAGUCACAGUAUUCUCAAGAGCUGGGAAAUGAGGAAGGCACACAUGGAGCCUUUACUAACUGUGUAAGUAAUUCUGAGCUUUGCCAGACCAUUCACAGUGCUGUAGUUCUUUUUUUUUUUUAUCCCACUCACUGUUAAAGCAAGAAAGCAUCUUGUCUUUCUAAGAUUUUACUCAUUCAAAAGCUGGACCCUUUAGCCAAGUAUGCAGAUAACAUCAAAAGAAAAGCUAGGAUACAAUGGUCAUAUACCCAUUGCACAACUCCUAUGAGGUCAUCAGAAGGUCACUCAGACCUUGCUUUCAAAAGGGCUUUUGAAUCUGUACACAUGAGAACUAGAAAUGCAUGGAGUUAAGGAAUGACUAUUUGGCCUCAUCUCCUGGUCCUUGAGAUGAGGAAGUCUGAAAAUCUCUAUGUCCUUUCCCCUGGAAUGUCUCUGUUGUUAGCAUUAAAGUUCCCAGGAAGUAUUCACUGCUGAAUGGUUUUGAACCAAGUGAAUCUUGCUUCUUUUUUUUUUUAAGAUUUUAUUUAUUUAUUUAUUUUAGACAGACAGGGAAGGGGGGAGAAAGAGAGGCAGAGAAACAUCAAUAUGCGGUUGUCUCUCAUGCACCCCCACUGGGGACCUAACCUGGCCCACAACCCAGGCAUGUGCCCUAACUGGAAAUUAAACCGGCAACCCUUUGGUUUGCAGGCUGGCACUCAAUCCACUGAGCCACACCAGCUAUGGCAUUGCUUCAUUUUUAAGUAGAAGCUUCCUAAUGGUAUAGAGCAGAUACUUUAGAAGGCCCAGAUGGGUUGUGAAUGAAUGAUUUAGAUCAGGCAAAAUAUGGACACUAGAGAAUGGUGGCAAUCAUGAUGAACAAGAAAAAAACAUGUCCCCUUUGAAGGGGUGACCCAGCCGUAGACAAUCAGAACCAUGCAGAAAUCAGGCCCAGGGAAGCUAGAUCUUCUGACUUGAAAAUAUGAUCUUACCUGACGUUUAGUGUUGACAACUAACUCACAUUCUUGACCAGCACUGUGCAGACCAAAGGAACCUAUAUGUGGGCAGGUGCAGCCUUUGGCCACCAGAUCCAGCUAUUGGGAGACACAGAGUUCACAUUCCAUAACCAUCAGUCAAGUUCCUCCAUCAGCCAACCCCCACACCCCCCACACUCACCUUGGCACUAUCUGGACAACUAAAAUCAAGGGAGGGAAAGAGGUCAGUUCUCCCCAGAAGUCAUUCUCAUGGAAGACUUGAUUAUAGAAGUAUAAUGUCCUCAAACUAGCCUUGCCUCAGAUCAAAACCUACUGAAGUCUUACCCAGCUCUCACUCUGCUUUCUUGAGGCCCAGGCCAUGCCCCAGAGUACUGAAUAACUGUAAUCCUAACUUUCUUAGUGUUUUCACUGCCAUGACCACUGUGAUGAGGGGCUGGAAAGGAGCAGCCUUGAGCCUUAAAAGAAGGCAGCGGGGAACCCCCAAAGUUUAAGACAGCACACAUAGCUCCCUUAUGCUGAAGCCCUUUGCCAACCCCUCUACACUCCUUUCCCCUCCUUCCUGCCUUGUGACUUUUUGUCCCUGGGUAAUAUUUCUGUGGUUUCACCUCUAAUAUGGCAAAAUCCUUGCUGAAAAACUGGUAGGUAUUUGGGUAUUUUAGAGUGUCCACUGACCUCAGAAUGGAAUUUUUCCACACAGAAAACCUUAGCAUCUUUAUCUGAGGAUGAAGACAAAAUAGGAAUAAAUAUGUCAUGGAAAAAAUUAGAUGUCACUUCCUUCAUUUGGAUGGAUGGACUAAGUGAUUUUAGGCUGUAUCUCACACCAGAAUCCUUAUGGUGUUGGAACAAUCACAUUUAUAAUAAAGUAUGUCUCUUUCAGAUACAUUGUGUUAUUUGUACUUCCUAAGAACCAAGUGGAGAACAGGGAUAUUUAGGAUCACUAUCACCUACCUCCAAGGCUAAUCUGGAGUGAUCUUGAGCCUGGGAGUCAGCCUCAUGCAUGCCUACAAAUUCAAGGGCAAGGGCUCAAUAAAGCUCAGACCUUAAUCUUCCAGCACAAAUCCAGACCUGAGAAAACCCAGUGACCCACUAUGUUCUCAACCCAUUCUUCUAAUCCAGUUUCUCAGCAUAGAAAAGCCCAUUCGCUCACAUUGCUAAAUACAAAGGAACGAUUUCCAAAUGCAAACUAGGACUAGGGCAGCACCAUCCUGCAUCUCCUAAGUUCCAACCAUACAGGUGGUCAUUAUAGGAGUUGAGUAGCUAACAUGAAUAACAGUUUAGACUCCUUGGGAAAAGUUAUUUUGCUGCUAACAUUCAACAUUUGCUAUCCAUGUAAACUUAAAUUGAUGCCAGAAAAUUUUAAAACAGCUCAUAUUUACAGUGUGUAAGGAUCACAUCAAAAAAUCAUGUUAACCCCAAGUUGGAAACACCUGGGAAUCUGGUUAAGUCAUGUUUAAAUAUGAAUGCAAUUUAAAUAGCUCUGGUGAUGCCUGAGAUUUCUGUCACUGUGAGGGGUGCCAAUGUGGUCUGAUACUUGAAUGGAUUUCCUGCCACCCUUCUGCAUUAGUUUACCAGGUUUCACUUCUUGAGUACAGGAUAAAGCCACUCACAGGGAGCUGGAAGGGACCUAAACCACUCCGGCCCAUCACCUACAUCAUUAACAGGCUUUUUAAUAAAUGUUUCUAAAGCAAUAAUACAGAACUGGAGGAGGACAGAGGGGAGCCCUUUCUUCCUCUGCUGGAAAAGAAGCCUGUUGUGCAGUGGUUGGCACCAAUGCUGUGACUGUGGCAGGACUUAGAAGGACUAAACUGCAGGGAACAAGAAGAAAGCUACCCCCGCAGAGAGGGGGUAAUGAUAGAUCUGAAAGAAGUUGGAAAUCUUGAGGUCAGUGCUUAAGUUGUAGUCUUGUUUUUUAAAAAAUAUUCUUUUUUAUUGGGUGCCAUCCAUGUAUUUAACUGCCACCUUCCAAAGAAAAGAUUGUCUUCAUUUGUAUUAUGAAACUGUUAAAAAUUAAUUCUCAAGUCUACUUAAAUACAGGUCCCCCCCUACCUAUCCAAAGGUAGAGUGAGCUUAUGAAACUUUUUGUAAACUGAAUCAGUAACACGAAGACCUAUGUUAGAGUAAGGUGAUGGCUUUUUUCUUAAAAGUAAAAAUCCUCUUCGGAUUUCAUUCUGUUAGCAAAGGCAGGUGUCAAUGUAAGGGUUUCAUAAAAACCAAGUGGCCAAAGGCAAACUUUUGAUAUUGGGGGCCCAUGUAUUACACUCACUUAGAGGGCAAUUCUCUACAUUUUUAACUCAGAAAAUUAGCGAGAAUACAAAGUAGCAACUCCUGGUGAAAGCAAAGUAAGCUGUCAUAAAGAGUGAUGUUUUCUUUAAAAAAAGAGUUGCUCAUCUAUUUUCUUCUAACUGAAGAGGAAAACCAACACUCAGGAGAAGUUGAGCUUUGAGAACAGAGAACAGUCCCCAUCCUGGUAGCCACCUUGCAUUCAUGUUCCUAUGUUACUACACUGUUAAUAUGUAUGUUCCUCUCCCAAGGUCUCAAAUUAUACAUUUUGCUUCUGGGGCUGCUGGUUUUUCAUUCUUAAAUAAGAUCCAAGGGGAUAAAAGUCAUCAUGACUGGUGCGCUAGUCUCAGUCUGUGAGGCCACCCCCUUGGGAAGAAUUCCCAUCUGUCUGAGCAGUUUUAGGAGUACACUCAGAGAGCAGGGUUGGUCAGCACGCAGCCCACCACACUCAUCACAAAAGACUGGCCAAGUCACUGAUAAAGGACAGGCAGAUAUCUAGUCCUCUCACUCUGACUCAAAGCUCCAUGCAAGUCCCAUACCACCAGCCCCUUGCAUGUGGACCAGGAAUGGAGGAAGGCAAAGGGAGUAAGCUUCACCUUAAUUUCCCCAGGGCUCACUUUGCCCACAUUACACAACAUGAAAAUGAAAGCAUUUUUAAAAAUGUGAAAAGAAGUGGCUUCUGCAGGGUGUCUUUGUUUUAAUGUUAUAUUCAUGGAUCUAGAAAGUAGCAACUCCAAUCCGCUCACACAGUGAAGCCCUAGUCCCUCACCUGUGGGCAGCCUCCCUCCCAUGCUUUCAGCAGGGAUGGAGAGACCGAGAGGAAAGAGGAAGAACUUUAGGACCAGUGCCUGCUGCCAGAGUUGGAAUGACCCUCCAGGAUCAAUGGUGUAGCUUCAUCAUAAACUACCCCCACUGCACCCCAAAAUAAGGAUGCAUCUCCUGCAGAUUAUAAACCCUUGCUUUGCUCUUUAAAUCUUUUUUUGAUAGACUCUGCUAAUUGGAAAUCAAUGACUGUGAUUUGACCAAGCCCUGUGAUGAUAGAAAAAUUCUCUCUUCUGAAGUCUCCCAACUGUUUGGGGAACCUUCGUGACCACUGGUAGGAAGCUUUAGAAAAGAGAUUUUUAGGGAAGACCUCAAUACCCCCAAAUAUACUUGUGACUUCAAUAACUGAAAAUGCCCUGGGUGUAAAAUAACAUAGGAAUGUGGAUGACAUAUGUAAAAAACAUGAUGUAUCAAUAUUUUCCUACAAUACACCCUAAAAUCCCUAUUUUUGUAGUUAAUGGUCAGACAACGGUCAGCCAUUUGAACAUGUGCUCUCUGGAAUAACCAGACACUAGUAUAGUUUCCAAAGCAUUUUGUGUAUCAAAACCUAUAUACUUAGAAGAACUCAGGAUAAGAAGAAAUUGCUAGGUCCCAAAUGGUUCAUGACUAUCAUCAAAUGCAAAGGCCAAGUAAGUGGCCUAUGGUCCUCUUCAAAUGAGGGGCUAGAGAGUAAGAGAAACAGCAGUUAUCACAGAACCUCUGUUGCCCUUAGUUCAUGAUAAAGUUUAAAAAAGUCCACUUUUAAAAAUCAAGCCAUCUUUCAAAUUGUUUUCUAUACCAAAUCUAAACUAUUGAAAUGAAAAUCUAAAACAUCUUUAUGGGGUUGUUAGUGGAAAUGCGGUCAGUAGGAAACAUUGCUUUGUGGUGCCUGUGAAACAAGCGAAGGAGAAAGUCAGACUGAAGAGAAAGAAGGGUUCUUCCUAUAUGAUUCUAGCCUUCAAAUGACAGGCCUUAACUUAUAAUUGGGCACUACUAAUUCAAAACCAAUGUGGCCAUGCUAUCCAAUUUUUAGACAUCCUUUGAAAUAGUUUUAGCCACCAUUUGGAGAUGAGUGAGUGCUUACAAAGGUUGUUAAUGUCAGUAAAUGAAUGUAUAAUGUUACAAACUAUGCAUUUUCAAAGAGUAAUGUUUAUUUUGUGUUGAACCCAAGUAAAUUCUUUUCAUAGAGACUUAUCACAACCACAAAUUAUUCAAGAUAAACUUGAACACAUGUUAUUAUGGGGAGGUGGGACUCCCAUCUAUAUUCUUCUAGCUGAUAUUUUUAAAGACAGUGCAUUGAAAUUUCAGGCUCUAAACAAAUUCAGCCAUUAAGGUGAAUUAAUAGGAAAUGUCUUUGGACAUUAAUAGAAAAUGUAAACAUUUUACCUCUUAAACAGAAAAAGGACAUGUUGGCUGUCACAAGAUGUGCCCAGUUCUUAGAGUGUUCUAGUAACAUUGGAUUAACAAUCAAACAAAAUUGCAUAGAGUUAACGAGGAUCACAUUGGAUAAAUAGAGUGUGGGUUGUAUCUGGUGUGUUUAAUCCUCUAUCAAAAAAAUAUUCCUCAAAGAUUUGGGUUAUAUAGUUCCAAAGAACAAAAUAUAAAAUAAAAUAUUGUCAUUUGAGGUGGUAAACACAAUACAAUACACAGGUGGUGUAUUAUAGAAUGGUACACCUGAAACCUAUAAUUAUAUUAACCAAUAUCACCCCAAUAAAUUCAAUUAAAAAUGAAAAAAUAAAGUAUUUUCUAGCAAAGCGAAUUACUGAUCUUUUUUCAAAAUUACAUGGAGAUGAUGACUCAUUUUGGGGGGGAUGUUUAUAUGGAAUGUACACAUGUUUAUUCAGCCCUCUUGUUGAUUUUGUAUGUUCAUGAAAACUUUUCCACCAAUAAUUUAUCUUUGCUCCUUAAUCAAUGCUUUACUACAUUACAUGACAUGGAAAAAAAAAUCCUUUCCUUCAUCUGACAAUGUGGAAAUAGAGAAAUCCAUUUCUCUACAGUCUAUUUUCCUUCUGUGUCCACUGACAAUGUUUCUCAACUGUUUGUAUGUAAAAUACUGGGAAUACUUGUAAACCUGGCACUCAUGUUUAGUUAUACUGGGUAUGUUUGCUACCAUUUAGAAGUCAUGCAGAAUGUCUUUUUAUAUUACUUUUAGCCGAAUUCAUAUGUUCUGAUACUAUGUUUCUGAAUACCUAGUCAACUGUAAAUACAGCCUGUGGAGGUCCAGGUUCAGACACCGUUCAGUGACUGUUCCUCAGCCGUGCUCCUGGCCAGCUUUUGGCACGUUGUAUAUAGAUUUGUCGAAUGUUUAAAUGAUGUUGUUUUUCUAAAUGCUGUUCUCUAAAACAACAUUUUUUAUUUUUUUUCUUUGCUUUCCAUUGUUUAGGACUUUGUGUGUGCUUUAAAAAAAUUGUUUUCUAAAUACUUAACACCAGGAAAAAUAUUUCAAAUAAACUGGUGCUAAUUGAAAUAGAAAUGUCAGAUUGAAGAUGUACAACAUAAAAUGUUCACACCAGUUCAACGAAAUUGCACUUUCCUGAGGGGACAGCUGGCAUCUACCUGUAGUGGGCAUCAGGAGGACCACUACAUGUUUACAGCUUCUGUGGCCCAUUUAAGUGUGAAAAUAUAGAAGUGGUGCUGUCCCCCCAAGUCAAGGAUUUGCUACAUUGGUCCUAUGGGAGAAUAUAAGUAGAAGUAAAGGUUUGUAGUAAGAAUCACAUUAAUAAUAGUCUUCUGGUCUUUGGAGUUUAAUGUCUGUAAUGCUUCAUGUAACAAUGAACCUGGUGUUGGUAGUCUAGUCUGACAUUCUCGUUGACCUGUGCUCACUGCGUGUACAGUUCUAGCUUGGGCUGCACAGGCAUGUGCCGAGCCAGAGCACAGGACUGUCAUUAGGCCAGCCUGACUUCUGCAGUGUCCACACACACGAACUUAAAUGCACUUGUAACUUGGUAAUUACCAUGACGUCUAGCUUUCACGUAAUAAAAGUUUUUGUG